GGGAAACUGCCUGAUGGAGGGGGAUAACUACUGGAAACGGUAGCUAAUACCGCAUAACGUCGCAAGACCAAAGAGGGGGACCUUCGGGCCUCUUGCCAUCAGAUGUGCCCAGAUGGGAUUAGCUAGUAGGUGGGGUAACGGCUCACCUAGGCGACGAUCCCUAGCUGGUCUGAGAGGAUGACCAGCCACACUGGAACUGAGACACGGUCCAGACUCCUACGGGAGGCAGCAGUGGGGAAUAUUGCACAAUGGGCGCAAGCCUGAUGCAGCCAUGCCGCGUGUAUGAAGAAGGCCUUCGGGUUGUAAAGUACUUUCAGCGGGGAGGAAGGUGCUGAGGUUAAUAACCUCAGCAAUUGACGUUACCCGCAGAAGAAGCACCGGCUAACUCCGUGCCAGCAGCCGCGGUAAUACGGAGGGUGCAAGCGUUAAUCGGAAUUACUGGGCGUAAAGCGCACGCAGGCGGUCUGUCAAGUCGGAUGUGAAAUCCCCGGGCUCAACCUGGGAACUGCAUUCGAAACUGGCAGGCUAGAGUCUUGUAGAGGGGGGUAGAAUUCCAGGU
This 559-nucleotide ribosomal RNA is filed under the name uncultured bacterium. Its description in RNAcentral is "bacterial SSU rRNA". It matches the Rfam family "Bacterial small subunit ribosomal RNA", at positions 120 to 674 of the family's 1533-position model. The record is from RNAcentral.